UUGAUCAACUUGGUCAUUAGAGAAGUAAAGUCGUACAAGUUUCCGUAGGUGAACCUGCGGAAGGAUCAUUA
RNAcentral lists this ribosomal RNA (71 nucleotides) under uncultured Glomus. RNAcentral's name for it is "partial 18S ribosomal RNA". Lineage: Eukaryota; Fungi; Glomeromycota; Glomeromycetes; Glomerales; Glomeraceae. The record is from RNAcentral.